Molecule: unclassified non-coding RNA, 323 nt
Filed under: soil metagenome
Description: partial contains 5.8S ribosomal RNA, internal transcribed spacer 2, and large subunit ribosomal RNA
Rfam family: 5.8S ribosomal RNA (bases 1-120)
Source: RNAcentral
GAUGAAGAACGUAGCGAAAUGCGAUAAGUAAUGUGAAUUGCAGAAUCCAGUGAAUCAUCGAAUCUUUGAACGCACAUUGCGCCCGCCAGCAUUCUGGCGGGCAUGCCUGUCCGAGCGUCAUUUCAACCCUCAAGCUCUGCUUGGUGUUGGGCCCUGCCCGCUGCGGCCGGCCCUAAAGACAGUGGCGGUGCCGCCUGGCCCUGAGCGUAGUACAUCUCUCGCUCCAGUGCCCGGUGGUAGCCUGCCAGAACCCCAACUCUCGUGGUUGACCUCGGAUCAGGUAGGGAUACCCGCUGAACUUAAGCAUAUCAAUAAGCGGAGGA